AGUGAACGCUGGCGGUAGGCCUAACACAUGCAAGUCGAACGGCAGCACAGGAGAGCUUGCUCUCUGGGUGGCGAGUGGCGGACGGGUGAGGAAUGCAUCGGAAUCUACUCUUUCGUGGGGGAUAACGUAGGGAAACUUACGCUAAUACCGCAUACGACCUACGGGUGAAAGCCGGGGACCUUCGGGCCUGGCGCGAAAGAAUGAGCCGAUGCCCGAUUAGCUAGUUGGCGGGGUAAGAGCCCACCAAGGCGACGAUCGGUAGCUGGUCUGAGAGGAUGAUCAGCCACACUGGAACUGAGACACGGUCCAGACUCCUACGGGAGGCAGCAGUGGGGAAUAUUGGACAAUGGGCGCAAGCCUGAUCCAGCCAUACCGCGUGGGUGAAGAAGGCCUUCGGGUUGUAAAGCCCUUUUGUUGGGAAAGAAAAGCAGUCGGUUAAUACCCGAUUGUUCUGACGGUACCCAAAGAAUAGCACCGCUAA
RNAcentral lists this ribosomal RNA (481 nucleotides) under Xanthomonas sp. oral taxon 037. RNAcentral's name for it is "bacterial SSU rRNA". It matches the Rfam family "Bacterial small subunit ribosomal RNA", at positions 29 to 500 of the family's 1533-position model. The record is from RNAcentral. Lineage: Bacteria; Pseudomonadati; Pseudomonadota; Gammaproteobacteria; Lysobacterales; Lysobacteraceae.